RNAcentral lists this ribosomal RNA (395 nucleotides) under uncultured bacterium. Its description in RNAcentral is "partial 16S ribosomal RNA". It matches the Rfam family "Bacterial small subunit ribosomal RNA", at positions 338 to 730 of the family's 1533-position model. The record is from RNAcentral.
CCUACGGGUGGCAGCAGUGAGGAAUAUUGGUCAAUGGGCGCGAGCCUGAACCAGCCAAGCCGCGUGAAGGAUGACUGCCCUACGGGUUGUAAACUUCUUUUGUCAAGGAAUAAAGUGAGGCACGUGUCCCUUUGUGUCUGUACUUUAUGAAAAAGGAUCGGCUAACUCCGUGCCAUCAGCCGCGGUAAUACGGAGGAUACGAGCGUUAUCCGGAUGUAUUGGGUUUAAAGGGAGCGUAGAUGGGUCGUUAAGUCAGUUGGGAAAGUAUGGGGCUCAACCCUACAAGUGCAGUUGAUACUGGCAGACUUGAGUGCAGUUGAGGUAGGCGGAAUGCGAGGUGUAGCGGUGAAAUGCUUAGAUAUCGCGAAGAACUCCGAUUGCGAAGGCAGCGUACU